RNAcentral lists this ribosomal RNA (357 nucleotides) under Riekoperla triloba. RNAcentral's name for it is "partial 12S ribosomal RNA". It matches the Rfam family "Bacterial small subunit ribosomal RNA", at positions 872 to 1405 of the family's 1533-position model. The record is from RNAcentral. Lineage: Eukaryota; Metazoa; Arthropoda; Insecta; Plecoptera; Gripopterygidae.
CUUGGGUAGUAUUAGAUAUGAUCUUGAAACUCAAAGAAUUUGGCGGUGUUUUAGUCCUUUCAGAGGAACCUGUCCCGUAAUCGAUAGUCCACGUUUUACCUUACUUAAUCUUGUUAUCAGCUUGUAUACCGCCGUCGUCAGAAUGUCCUUAGAGGGUUAGAAUUUUCUUGAUUUUUAAUUGAAAUUGAUGUCAGGUCAAGGUGCAGUUUAUGAUUAAGUGGAGAUGGGUUACAAUAAAUUUAUUUAUACGGAAAGCAGAUGGCAGAAUUUGUUUGAAGGUGGAUUUGAUUGUAAUGAAUUUAAUUAAGUUAAUUUGACUUUGGCUCUAAAACAUGCACACAUCGCCCGUCGCUCUUA